Molecule: ribosomal RNA, 1716 nt
Filed under: Salmonella enterica
Lineage: Bacteria; Pseudomonadati; Pseudomonadota; Gammaproteobacteria; Enterobacterales; Enterobacteriaceae
Description: partial 23S ribosomal RNA
Rfam family: Bacterial large subunit ribosomal RNA
Source: RNAcentral
UAAGCCUGUGAAGGUGUGUCGUGAGGCAUGCUGGAGGUAUCAGAAGUGCGAAUGCUGACAUAAGUAACGAUAAAGCGGGUGAAAAGCCCGCUCGCCGGAAGACCAAGGGUUCCUGUCCAACGUUAAUCGGGGCAGGGUGAGUCGACCCCUAAGGCGAGGCCGAAAGGCGUAGUCGAUGGGAAACGGGUUAAUAUUCCCGUACUUGGUGUUACUGCGAAGGGGGGACGGAGAAGGCUAUGUUGGCCGGGCGACGGUUGUCCCGGUUUAAGCGUGUAGGUGUGUGUUCCAGGUAAAUCCGGUUCACUUUAACACUGAGGCGUGACGACGAGGCACUACGGUGCUGAAGCAACAAAUGCCCUGCUUCCAGGAAAAGCCUCUAAGCAUCAGGUAACAUCAAAUCGUACCCCAAACCGACACAGGUGGUCAGGUAGAGAAUACCAAGGCGCUUGAGAGAACUCGGGUGAAGGAACUAGGCAAAAUGGUGCCGUAACUUCGGGAGAAGGCACGCUGACACGUAGGUGAAGUGAUUUACUCAUGGAGCUGAAGUCAGUCGAAGAUACCAGCUGGCUGCAACUGUUUAUUAAAAACACAGCACUGUGCAAACACGAAAGUGGACGUAUACGGUGUGACGCCUGCCCGGUGCCGGAAGGUUAAUUGAUGGGGUCAGCGCAAGCGAAGCUCCUGAUCGAAGCCCCGGUAAACGGCGGCCGUAACUAUAACGGUCCUAAGGUAGCGAAAUUCCUUGUCGGGUAAGUUCCGACCUGCACGAAUGGCGUAAUGAUGGCCAGGCUGUCUCCACCCGAGACUCAGUGAAAUUGAACUCGCUGUGAAGAUGCAGUGUACCCGCGGCAAGACGGAAAGACCCCGUGAACCUUUACUAUAGCUUGACACUGAACAUUGAGCCUUGAUGUGUAGGAUAGGUGGGAGGCUUUGAAGUGUGGACGCCAGUCUGCAUGGAGCCGACCUUGAAAUACCACCCUUUAAUGUUUGAUGUUCUAACGUGGACCCGUGAUCCGGGUUGCGGACAGUGUCUGGUGGGUAGUUUGACUGGGGCGGUCUCCUCCUAAAGAGUAACGGAGGAGCACGAAGGUUGGCUAAUCCUGGUCGGACAUCAGGAGGUUAGUGCAAUGGCAUAAGCCAGCUUGACUGCGAGCGUGACGGCGCGAGCAGGUGCGAAAGCAGGUCAUAGUGAUCCGGUGGUUCUGAAUGGAAGGGCCAUCGCUCAACGGAUAAAAGGUACUCCGGGGAUAACAGGCUGAUACCGCCCAAGAGUUCAUAUCGACGGCGGUGUUUGGCACCUCGAUGUCGGCUCAUCACAUCCUGGGGCUGAAGUAGGUCCCAAGGGUAUGGCUGUUCGCCAUUUAAAGUGGUACGCGAGCUGGGUUUAGAACGUCGUGAGACAGUUCGGUCCCUAUCUGCCGUGGGCGCUGGAGAACUGAGGGGGGCUGCUCCUAGUACGAGAGGACCGGAGUGGACGCAUCACUGGUGUUCGGGUUGUCAUGCCAAUGGCACUGCCCGGUAGCUAAAUGCGGAAGAGAUAAGUGCUGAAAGCAUCUAAGCACGAAACUUGCCCCGAGAUGAGUUCUCCCUGAGACUUAGAGUCUCCUGAAGGAACGUUGAAGACGACGACGUUGAUAGGCCGGGUGUGUAAGCGCAGCGAUGCGUUGAGCUAACCGGUACUAAUGAACCGUGAGGCUUAACCUUACAACGCCGAAG